Molecule: ribosomal RNA, 253 nt
Filed under: uncultured bacterium
Lineage: Bacteria
Description: partial 16S ribosomal RNA
Rfam family: Bacterial small subunit ribosomal RNA
Source: RNAcentral
UACGGGGGGGGCAAGCGUUGUUCGGAAUUACUGGGCGUAAAGGGCUCGUAGGUGGCCAACUAAGUCAGACGUGAAAUCCCUCAGCUUAACUGGGGAACUGCGUCUGAUACUGGAUGGCUUGAGUUUGGGAGAGGGACGCGGAAUUCCAGGUGUAGCGGUGAAAUGCGUAGAUAUCUGGAGGAGCACCGGUGGCGAAGGCGGCGUCCUGGGCCAACACUGACACUGAUGAGCGAAAGCCAGGGGAGCAAACGGG